AAUCAAACCAUUAUACCGGCGCUGCUUCUGCUCUUCUUCUUCCCCUCCUUUACCCUGAUUUCUUAUCGCGGUGAAGAUGCAGGGAGGCUAUGUUUGUGUUCUCUGCUAGGGUUUCUAGUAUACCUUACCAUCCUGUUCUAGCUGUGGCCUCUCCUCACUUUGAUGAUACCUUCAUUGUAAUUUCAGUCAUUUUUAUACUUUGUAAUUUCAAUGAGAAGUUUGUCCGUGAUGACCUUACAAAGAUACCAUCAAACUCAGAAACCAAAGAUGUAGAUAUCUUUCAAAGUGUCUGAGCCAUUCGAUUUCCAAAAGGAGCUUCUCCUCUUGUACUUUCGAAGUCACAAAAAUUUAUUUUUUCUAUUAUGCUUAUUGUUUGAUUUCUUUGAUUUGUAAAAGCUUUUAUGCGGCUCUUCCUUUCAAAUGCAUAAAGAGUUUAUUUUCCUUUUUUUUCCAAUUUAUGUUUGAUUAAUCUGACGAAUUAGGCUAUAAAAUUAGAAUUCUGGUCGUGGUCUGUCUCUUUUUUUUUUUUUUUUAUGUUUUUGAUUUUUGUUCUUCUGAUCUGAAGAAGGCAAUAAAUUAGAGUCUCUGAUGCGCUCUUUCUGAUAGCGUUGUCAGUGCUGUACGUUGCCGAGAACAAUUCCAAGCUGUGAUUCUGGCUUCAAUCACUCGUUUAAUUGGGUCGAUGCAUUCUAAUGCUUGGACAUUCCGCUUCAUUUUCCCCUUUCUUCCAUCCUUGUGAAUCUGCAUUUCUUCAAUUCGUAGCCAAAUUUUUUGUGAGCUUUGAUUCUUCAGAAUCUGGCGCUUUGGAUUUUCACAACAGGAUCAUCUACUCUUGAUAAAUAAAUGUCUGUUUUCGGCAAUAAAUUCUCUGAUGCGUUCUUGUCAUUCAUUGCGCAAUCAGCGGGACUCGUUGCCGAUAAUAAUACCGGGCUGUGAUUCUGGCGUCAGACUAUGUAUUCUAUAUAGUGGAUGCAUUCUUAUGCCUGGGACAUUUUAUAUAUCAAUUCCCUUCUAAGUUUGUAUUGAAAAAGAUACCAGAGAAUCAUGUCAGUAUAUCUAAUACGCCCAAGUAUUCCUCAUCAAAAGCUAUACUCAACUAUAGAAUAUUUCGGGUUUUUUAUACACGAUUAUUUAUUCCGUUUUUUCCUUUGUGAAGUUUUUGAUAUUUUUGUCCGUGAUGACCUAGCAAAAAUACCAUCAAACUCAUAAAUCAAAUAUGUCGAUAUCUUUUGAAGUGUGUGAGCCAAUCGAUCUCCUAAAGGCAUCUUUCUGCUAUGCUUGUGCUUUGAUUUCUUCGAUCUGUCGAAGAUUUUAUGGGUUUCUUUUCAAAUGAAUAAAGAAGUUUUUCUUUUUAAAUCAACUAUUCUUAUUAAUCGUAUAUUUUAGCGUUUUGAUUUGAUUUUUUUAGAUCCGAAAAGGAAGGCAAUAAAUUAGAGUCUCUGAUGCGCUUCUUUUUGAUAGCGUUGUCAGCGCUGUACGUUGCCGAGAACGAUCCCGGGCUGUGAUUCUAGCAUCCACCAUUUCUUCAUUAUGAUCGAUGCAUUCUUAUGCCUGGACAUUGUGUCUCAAUCCCCUUUAUUUUUUUUGCCCCUGGGAGUUUCUUAUUUCUUCCAAUCUCGUAUGGAAAGAAGACGAGAAUCAUGGCUUUAUUGGUAAUACAUUGGGGAUAUUAGCGCUCUCUAUUUUGUUUCGUCAACUUCCCUGCUCCAUUGCAAUAGGAAUAUGCUCAGGAGCCUUCUAACAGUGUUGAAUCAAUCCAACCAAGCAAGAGUGCUAGAGCGUAUUUGCAAUCGCGGGGCAUUUGAUUGUUUUGAUCUUAUCCGAUUCUGGCCACUAAUAAGUUGGCCUCUUAAAUAUUAAUAUGAUGGAAUUUUAAUAAGUAAAUUUAAAGAAUCAGAAUCUGGUUCUUCUGGUGAAUCAAAUUUUUAAUGGGGUCUACUGAAAUCAUUUCUUCAUCCAGAUCCCGGAGGAUUAUUAGUUUCCGGGAGAAAGUUCAAUUCUAUUUGGACUACUCAUUUUUAAAUGAUAUCUAUAAAAUUCAUAAAUAUACAUUUUUUUUAUCAAAUAAUUGUUUUUGAUUUAUAAUUAUUUUCACAUUGAAUCCAUAAUCAUCUGAAUUUAUGUAAAGAUAUCAUUAUGAUUGGAUUCAACUUUAAUGCCCAAAUUAUUGAUAUUUUGGUUAAGAAUUGUUUUGAAGUUGUUUUAGUUGUUAAUGCUGAAAAUUAAUUCUUUAAAAUGUAUAUAGUCCUAACGUUGUCUUGAAGGUUACUUGUUGUUUUGCUUGGUGCCAUCAUAUUCUUCUGGCUUUAUUGAUGAACCUCUCAGAAUAUUUUGGUGCCUGUUUAGCAUCAUUUCAAGUGGGUGGUGGGUGCAUAUGAGUAGCAAGUGAUUCAUGGCUGAAUUAUAUGGAGUAUAGUGAUUUAGGUUAGAUCCUUCGACCUUGAGUGGGGAAGAUAUCUAUUAAUCCACUGAGAGCUUUAUUAUGUUAUCUUUUAGGAUAUAUGUCUCUUAGGAAUUGAUCUCUUAUUUUAUUGUAAUAAGUUCGUCACUUUUUAAGUGCAUCCUGUGGGGUGGGGACUGCUUAGCACUAUCUUACACAUUGAGGUUUGGUUGCUCAAUUGCUGGGCCGUGUUUUAGUUUGUUAUCAAUUAGACGUCAAUGAUAUUUUUGGUGCGUUUACUUGGACAACUUGAAAAUGAAAAA
This is a long non-coding RNA of Zingiber officinale, 2703 nucleotides long. RefSeq lists it as uncharacterized. The transcript is spliced from 2 exons. Lineage: Eukaryota; Viridiplantae; Streptophyta; Magnoliopsida; Zingiberales; Zingiberaceae. The record is from RefSeq and is a predicted model, not a curated record.